GACGAACCUAGCGAACGUUGUUCGGAAUCACUGGGCUUAAAGGGCGAGUAGGCGGGUGAUUAAGUCCGGGGUGAAAUCCUCCAGCUCAACUGGAGAAGUGCCUUGGAUACUGGGUGCCUCGAGGAAGGUAGGGGUGUGUGGAACGUUCAGUGGAGCGGUGAAAUGCAUUGAUAUUGAGCGGAACUCCGGUGGCGAAGGCGGCAAACUGGACCUUUUCUGACGCUGAGGCGCGAAAGCUAGGGGAGCAAACGGG
Molecule: ribosomal RNA, 253 nt
Filed under: uncultured bacterium
Lineage: Bacteria
Description: partial 16S ribosomal RNA
Rfam family: Bacterial small subunit ribosomal RNA
Source: RNAcentral